RNAcentral lists this ribosomal RNA (385 nucleotides) under uncultured crenarchaeote. RNAcentral's name for it is "bacterial SSU rRNA". It matches the Rfam family "Archaeal small subunit ribosomal RNA", at positions 474 to 859 of the family's 1478-position model. The record is from RNAcentral. Lineage: Archaea; Thermoproteati; Thermoproteota.
UACCAGCACCCCGAGUGGUCGGGACGAUUAUUGGGCCUAAAGCAUCCGUAGCCGGUUCUACAAGUCUUCCGUUAAAUCCAUCUGCUUAACAGAUGGGCUGCGGAGGAUACUAUGGAGCUAGGAGGCGGGAGAGGCAAGCGGUACUUAGUGGGUAGGGGUAAAAUCCGUUGAUCCACUGAAGACCACCAGUGGCGAAGGCGGCUUGCCAGAACGCGCUCGACGGUGAGGGAUGAAAGCUGGGGGAGCAAACCGGAUUAGAUACCCGGGUAGUCCCAGCUGUAAACGAUGCAGACUCGGUGAUGAAAAGGCUUCGUGCCUUUUCAGUGCCGCAGGGAAGCCGUUAAGUCUGCCGCCUGGGGAGUACGGUCGCAAGACUGAAACUUAA